This 253-nucleotide ribosomal RNA is filed under the name uncultured bacterium. Its description in RNAcentral is "partial 16S ribosomal RNA". It matches the Rfam family "Bacterial small subunit ribosomal RNA", at positions 524 to 776 of the family's 1533-position model. The record is from RNAcentral.
UACGUAGGGUGCGAGCGUUGUCCGGAUUUAUUGGGCGUAAAGAGCUCGUAGGCGGCUGUUCAAGUCGAACGUGAAAACUCGGAGCUCAACUCCGAGCCUGCGUUCGAUACUGGGCGGCUUGAAUCCGGGAGAGGGAUGCGGAAUUCCAGGUGUAGCGGUGAAAUGCGUAGAUAUCAGGAGGAACACCGGUGGCGAAGGCGGUUCUCUGGGCAUGUCCUGACGCUGAGGAGCGAAAGUGUGGGGAGCGAACGGG